Gallus gallus (chicken) is the source of this 2237-nucleotide long non-coding RNA. RefSeq lists it as uncharacterized. NCBI's taxonomy places the organism in Eukaryota, Metazoa, Chordata, Aves, Galliformes, Phasianidae. The transcript is spliced from 9 exons. The record is from RefSeq and is a predicted model, not a curated record.
AGCCCCAGGCACACACACCUUACAAUCACAUCCAAAUUUUCAUGCUAAUUUAGAAAAAAUUACAGAAUUGCAACGGUUGGGAGAGACCUCGAGAUCGUCAAGUCCAACCCCCUUACUAAAGCGGUUACCCUACAACAGGUCACACAGCCUCAUAAGGACAGAAACAAGAAUAUCUUUCAAGAGGCUGUGUGUUACAUUACUGUAUGGGAACUGCUGAGUCAUGGCCUGAACCACUGAUUGAUCACCUGUGAAAAGGACUGGAUCAGCCCUGGGAGCACAGGGUUUCCAAGAAGGCAAUGUAAAGGAUAUCCAACGUCAACAAGUGCUUUUGUUGCCAAUGCCUACUGCAGAGGAGGGUGAGGAGGCUGCCAAGAAGAGUUUCAGAAUGGAUGAAAGCCCUACACCAAACAAAGGUCUAAAGGCUGUGGUCGAGAGCAGGCAUGGACUGACCAACUAUCCACCAUUUUUGCCUCCAAAUAUUUUCCAAGUUUUAACCCUUCAUGAGAGGCUGUUCUUGUCUUGCUCAGGACUGGACUCGCUGGUUAUUGUGACGCUGGCAGGCAGGGUCUGGGCACGGCUGGAGGCUGGAGUGCUCUGAGUUGUCGGGGACACUUCGAUUUUGUCAGAUGAGAUAGCUGAUGUGAUGGCCUGAAUCCACGUGUUCAUCUCCUCCUUCAAGAAGCCCGAAAGAUCAGGACUAGACCCUUCUGUAAGAGAUCUGCCUGCACAUGAACCUGCAUAACAGAGGCCUCAGCCUUUGCAGAAUUGAUCCUCCCAGGUGUUCAAGAAUAUAACUCUUCUCAGCUUGGAGAUGGAGCUUUGCCACAAUGAGCUGGUGAACUCUCUGAGGAUUCUCCUAAGGAGAACGAGUGAAGAAAAUACGCCACAUGAUAUUACUCAAGAAAGCCUGAUACAGGUGUCAAGUAACAUACAACUUGAGAGAACUGGAAUCAAAUCCCACUACUGCCACAAAUUCAUCACAUGAAGUGGGAAAGUCAUGAUAUCUUUAUGCCUCCAUUUUCUACCUUCCAAAUAUAAGCCAAUAGUGCAUUUUCUAACACAUAUGAUUAGAUUGCAACCUCAUCAACUAUAUUACUCAACCAUGCAUAUGCAAUUUCUAGAACAGGAGCAUUAGCUUGAAAAAUACUUCGGAGCUGUGAGAAGACAAUAACAGCAGUGACAACAUUUACAAUUAUAUAAUAACGAAAUGCCCUGAGUUGGAAGGGACCCAUAAGGAUCACUGAGUCCAGCUCCUGGCUCAACCAAGGAUCAUCCAAAAUUCAAACCAUACAUCACAGUGAAUUUGGAUACAAUCAUCUGCAUUAUUAAGUAGUGAUCUUCAUUAAACAUCAAGCACUCUUACCUGCUUGAGGCUUUCUUGUUGUGUGUCUCCCAUUCAUGUUUACGAUGCAAGAAGCCCUCCAUCUGAGCUGAAGGAAUCUCCUGUGUUUUGGCUGGUAGGGUAGCAGCAGUCUGAGCCUGAAUGGCAGCCUUGGCUUUGCGGUCUGCUGUUGGAGAAGGAACGGGACUAGACUCUUUCGAACUUGUCCUCUGUUCUGCAGCUCCAUUAACCAUUUCAUUUGUUUCCGCAGUUUCUGCCACCUAGGGACAGUGAAAAAAGUGUUCAUCUAGAUGCCUCACAACACUGAAGUAUUUUGCAGUUAAUGUUUCCCUGCACAAUGUGGCUGUGUAUAAGCUUUGCCUGGAGAAUGACACAGGCCAAUGAGAUCUUUCUCAUGGAGACACAGGAGGCCAAGGAAAUUAGAAGACUGGCCUGCCUACCAAACACGAUGAAGGCUGCAAGUCCCUUCAGCAGCAAGUAUUUCUGUACCUCAUGCUUGUCUACAAUGCUGCAGUUCAAGGUUUCCUUCAAGCUGAAAAAAAGCUUCAGCAGCUUUUGUGAAUGAGCUUACACAAUUUUGAUGAAGAACAUGAUACAAACACCAACACAGGUGUUUGAGGGCAGUUUCCUCAUGCUACUAUUUUUCUUAAAGCCCACUGAUACUUAGGAAGAAUGAAGAAAGUACACACAGCAGCCCAGAACUCUACCAAAUGACUACACUGCACUGUACAGUUUGAGAUGCCAGAAGGGCACAAAUUGGCAACUGUUUGCUACAAGAGCUACAGAAAACCUUGUUAGAGUUUUUGAACUGUGUUAUUUCUGGUGAAGAACUUGGAAAAUGCCGCAAUGCUUAAAAGUACAUCUUUUGUCAAUAAACUGUCAGAUAAUGCAAGUA